CAGUCGAGCGACUGAUUAGAAGCUUGCUUCUAUGACGUUAGCGGCGGACGGGUGAGUAACACGUGGGCAACCUGCCUGUAAGACUGGGAUAACUUCGGGAAACCGAAGCUAAUACCGGAUAGGAUCUUCUCCUUCAUGGGAGAUGAUUGAAAGAUGGUUUCGGCUAUCACUUACAGAUGGGCCCGCGGUGCAUUAGCUAGUUGGUGAGGUAACGGCUCACCAAGGCAACGAUGCAUAGCCGACCUGAGAGGGUGAUCGGCCACACUGGGACUGAGACACGGCCCAGACUCCUACGGGAGGCAGCAGUAGGGAAUCUUCCGCAAUGGACGAAAGUCUGACGGAGCAACGCCGCGUGAGUGAUGAAGGCUUUCGGGUCGUAAAACUCUGUUGUUAGGGAAGAACAAGUACGAGAGUAACUGCUCGUACCUUGACGGUACCUAACCAGAAAGCCACGGCUAACUACGUGCCAGCAGCCGCGGUAAUACGUAGGUGGCAAGCGUUAUCCGGAAUUAUUGGGCGUAAAGCGCGCGCAGGCGGUUUCUUAAGUCUGAUGUGAAAGCCCACGGCUCAACCGUGGAGGGUCAUUGGAAACUGGGGAACUUGAGUGCAGAAGAGAAAAGCGGAAUUCCACGUGUAGCGGUGAAAUGCGUAGAGAUGUGGAGGGACACCAGUGGCGAAGGCGGCUUUUUGGUCUGUANUGACGCUGAGCGCGA
RNAcentral lists this ribosomal RNA (713 nucleotides) under Bacillus sp. (in: firmicutes). RNAcentral describes it as "bacterial SSU rRNA". It matches the Rfam family "Bacterial small subunit ribosomal RNA", at positions 59 to 756 of the family's 1533-position model. The record is from RNAcentral. Lineage: Bacteria; Bacillati; Bacillota; Bacilli; Caryophanales; Bacillaceae.